This 451-nucleotide ribosomal RNA is filed under the name uncultured bacterium. RNAcentral describes it as "partial 16S rRNA". The record is from RNAcentral.
GCACAGAGUUAGCCGGGGCUUAUUCGGGGGGUACCGUCACUAUCGUCCCCCCCAAAAGGAGUUUACAACCCGAAGGCCGUCGUCCUCCACGCGGCGUUGCUCCCUCAGGCUUGCGCCCAUUGGGGAAAAUUCCUUGCUGCUGCCUCCCGUAGGAGUCUGGGCCGUAUCUCAGUCCCAGUCUGGCUGGUUGUCCUCACAGACCAGCUACCCGUCAUCGGCUUGGUGGGCCGUUACCCCGCCAACGACCUGAUGGGCCGCAGACCCCUCCGACCGCGCCGUAAGGCGUUCUUUCUCACCGAAGGUGAGAACCGUAUGCGGGAUUAGCGCGGCUUUCGCCGAGUUAUCCCCCACGGUCGGGCAGGUAUCCACGUGUUCCUCAGCCGUGCGCCACUCACCCACCGAAGUGGAUGCGUGCGACUUGCAUGCAUUAGGCACGCCGCCAGCGUUCGUC